This 253-nucleotide ribosomal RNA is filed under the name uncultured bacterium. Its description in RNAcentral is "partial 16S ribosomal RNA". It matches the Rfam family "Bacterial small subunit ribosomal RNA", at positions 524 to 776 of the family's 1533-position model. The record is from RNAcentral.
UACGUAGGGUGCGAGCGUUAAUCGGAAUUACUGGGCGUAAAGCGUGCGCAGGCGGUUUUGUAAGUCAGAUGUGAAAUCCCCGGGCUUAACCUGGGAACUGCGUUUGAAACUACAAGGCUAGAGUUUGGCAGAGGGGGGUAGAAUUCCACGUGUAGCAGUGAAAUGCGUAGAUAUGUGGAGGAAUACCGAUGGCGAAGGCAGCCCCCUGGGUCAAAACUGACGCUCAUGCACGAAAGCGUGGGGAGCAAACAGG